Molecule: unclassified non-coding RNA, 344 nt
Filed under: uncultured Chytridiomycota
Lineage: Eukaryota; Fungi; Chytridiomycota
Description: sequence contains ITS1
Rfam family: 5.8S ribosomal RNA (bases 1-102)
Source: RNAcentral
GAAAUGCGAUACGUAAUGUGAAUUGCAGAUUCCGUGAAUCAUCAAAUUUUUGAACGCAAGUUGCGCUUAUGGGAAACUAUAAGCAUGCUUGUUUCAGUGACGUUUAAAAAAAUAUCAAAACAAUAAAUGUUUUGGAAUUGAGGAUGUUACAACUGUAACUAACUCAAAUAUUAGCAUGUAAAGUACAUUUUUAUUAAAGGUAUUGCUAUCCAUAUCAAAGAUAUCGGACGGUAAUUAUUUUUAUUGUACUUUUUUUUACAUGUGCAAGAAAGUGAUUUUAUCACAUAAGAUAAUACUACCAAAAUUACGUCCUGAGAUCAAGUAAGAUUACCCGCUGAAUUUAA